Molecule: ribosomal RNA, 434 nt
Filed under: uncultured bacterium
Lineage: Bacteria
Description: bacterial SSU rRNA
Rfam family: Bacterial small subunit ribosomal RNA
Source: RNAcentral
GAUGAACGCUGACAGAAUGCUUAACACAUGCAAGUCAACUUGAAUUUGGGUUUUUAACUUAGAUUUGGGUGGCGGACGGGUGAGUAACGCGUAAAGAACUUGCCUCACAGCUAGGGACAACAUUUAGAAAUGAAUGCUAAUACCUGAUAUUAUGAUUUUAAGGCAUCUUAGAAUUAUGAAAGCUAUAAGCACUGUGAGAGAGCUUUGCGUCCCAUUAGCUAGUUGGAGAGGUAACAGCUCACCAAGGCGAUGAUGGGUAGCCGACCUGAGAGGGUGAACGGCCACAAGGGGACUGAGACACGGCCCUUACUCCUACGGGAGGCAGCAGUGGGGAAUAUUGGACAAUGGACCGAGAGUCUGAUCCAGCAAUUCUGUGUGCACGAUGAAGUUUUUCGGAAUGUAAAGUGCUUUCAGUUGGGAAGAAAUAAANGACG